CCAACAUUUCCAUUUUAGGCUUGUAAGAUUAGAAAGAAUAAUUUGAAAAUAUGUCAAAAUUUUACAUUUUCUUUACAUUUUACAUUUUCUCAUAGGCCCAUGAGUGCAGAUUAUCUAGGAGUAGAUUUUUUUGGUUCCUGGGCCAUUUUUCUUUUCUUCCCAUGGAUUGUCACCCCUUGCCCAUUCGCUGGAGGUUAAAGAGUGUAUAAAACAAACUCACAGCAGUCUGCAUUAUUUUAGUAAAGGACUAAAGUUGAAGCGAAUGGAAGAUGGUAGGAAUAUAAAACCCAUACUAAAAUGAAGUGUUACUUAAGGUUACAUUGCAUGAAAGAAGCUUUGAUGGCUGAUAAGUGGUGUUGAGAAAGAAGAGUUGGGUAGUGCUUCAUUAGUGCUGUCCGUGGAAGAAGAUGUGACCCCUCUGGAAAGGGUGACCUCCAUACCCUGUGCUUGGUCUUCUCUUAGACCCUCGUUCAUCAGUGCUUUCCCCAUAACACACAUGCUCACACCCCUUCAUACACACAGGACAUACCCUCACCUCCACUCACCCCCACUCACACACACAGAUGCAGACACAAGCACACACGCUCAAACCUCUCACAUCCACUCAUACUCAUUUACGAAGAUGCACACUCAUACACACUCUAACACACACUUAUACCCAUAUGCAUAUACAACACUUUCUGUAAAGUGUGAUCUGAGGACAGGGUAUUUUUCUUUAGCAGAAUGAAGUGUAGAGGAGAUCUGACUGAUAAUGAGAUGAUUUGGUUAACUGUGUGAUUUUAGGCCGGCCCUUCCUCUCAUUGAGGCCUCAGUUUCCCCACCUGGGCAAUUAGGGCUAUGAACCACAUAAUGCUAAGUGUGUUUCUAGUCCCAGAGGAACAGGAAGAGAAUCUUUUUUCAUCAAGGUGCUCUCCCAACACUCCUGCACUGAGGAACCCAGAGGAAAUGCUGAAAAGAUUAAUGAGUGAAUGGAUAGAUGAAUCUGUUUCAGCCUUCCUGGUUAAUGAUUUUGUAACCUGCUGAGUUGGUCUGGUAUCUUCAGACCUAUUAUUCAGGGUGACUUCUUGUCAGCUUUUUCCAGUCUUCCAAAUGAUUCCCCUGGGCAUAGUGCCCAUCCCUCCUUCUUUCACCCCCAACUGGCGGUAAGCUGUGCUGGAGACCAGGCCCACACUCAGGGCUGUUUGGAGGUGGUGGUGAGGUUGCCACUCUGGCUGCAAACAACAGAAAAGUGAGUCACCUUGGGGCACUGAACUUAAAGGGAGAGGCAUCAGUGACUGCUGCUCGGCCUUCUAAAUGCCCAGGAUGCACAGGGUCGCUCCCCUUUCACAGUACUUUGCCAUAGGCAAUGUGCAUUCCGCAUGUUCACAGCUAUUAAUUACUUCAUUUGGUUCUGAUAGAGCUCUGAAAAGAAGAGAGUUCAAAUAUUCUUAUUGUGAUUUUUGAUAAAAGGUUAAGUGAUUUGCCUUUUGGUCACAGCUAAUGAGGAUUGGAGGUGAGGCUGCCAUGGAUGUUUUUGAUUGACAGACCAGAGUCUCUCCUGGAGCUUUUUAUCAUCUCUUAAGACUAUGGAUGCCUGAGACUCAUCCCCAGUGGUUAUGGGGCUUGUGGUCGCAGGGUGGGGAAUGAAUGGGAAUCCAGCUUGUUAGCUGAAUCCCCAGGAAACUGUAUCUUGUCCAGAGGACAGGACAUGCUUGGUGUGGCCAGGAAGCUGUCAGAUGUGGGAAGAACAUUGGGUUUCUAAUGCUGAGGUCUGGCUUGGAAUUCUACUUGACACUGGACUCACCCUCUAACACUCAACCUCUUCAUUUGAUCAUGAGGAAAAUGAAGCCUACCUUGCCUGGGAUAGCCCCCCUUGUAAACACACACACACGUGCACACACACACACACACAUGCCCAAGUAUUAGCUCAGGAAGGUAAUGUUUGAGAAAACCCUCAUUAUGCAUGUGAAGGAUUGCAUUAGUUAACUUCUGUUGUGGUAACGAACAGCCUCAAUGGCUCAUAACCAUUAAGCACUUAUUUCUUAUUCACAUUCAUGAGAGCUGCAGGUUAGUGAAGCUUUGUUGGACUCUGUUGGGCUGGACGGAACUGGGCUCUAUGUCCAGAAGAAAGGAGUAGCUACUCUCUGAGACAUGCUCUUCUUAUGGUAGAGGGUAGGAACAAAAAGGACAGAGCCAAAUCACACAAGUAUAUUUUUAACUGCUGCUCAGACAUGACUUAUAUCACAUCCACACUCUCAUUUUAUUGCCCAAACAAGUUCCUUCUCUUACCCUAAAAUCAGCAGGGUGGGAAAGUUUAUGCUUCACCUGCAGGGAAACAUGGACUGGGUGGAGAGGCAGUGAAUAAUUGUCAAUACUCAAUACAGUUUAUCAGAGGGGUGUUAUUAUACUGCCCACGGUUAUAGACCUCAUAAGCUACUACUCCAGGGGCUAAAUCAAACUCUCCAUUGUCUGACUGGGUGAUUGUCUUCUAGUCUGAGUGGUUUCAAUCCCACCCUGGCACUUUUGUGGCUGUUUCUGUCUCAGUGUUUCUUGCAGACCCUUCUUCUCUUCGGUCUUCUGCUCCAGCAACGCACAUGUCUCAGAAGAAAGGCUCUCACCUUCAGGGUCCAUGCAAUAUAAAUGUAAACAAGGAGAGGUAGCCAUAAAUCUCAGCAGCUUUUGUGAGUUCUUGGCACACCUAUCAUUCAGUUUGGCAUGGACAAACGUACUCAUGCUUCUCUUUGGCAAGAAGGACGCCUGCAAGGUGAGAGACCACAAAGAGAAGGGAGGGGACCUCAUGGCUGGGACCCGCAGCACCUGUGGUUACUGAGGGAGGCCUCAGCUAGCGUACAUUAAAAGAAUGGUUAGGAAUUGAGUUUCAGAGGGCUCAGAAUCCUGUAACAAGCCUCACCUUUGUGUGAUGGUGUGAUCUCUUCAGCAGACUUCAUCAUCAUUGGACAUGUUAUCACUGAACAAACUUUUAUCCAUACCUAAUAUCACUGUUUCAUGAGCACAUAUUAAGUGCCUCUUGGGGGCUGCAUCCAUCUCUAAGGCUAUGAAGAUGAACAAGCCCUGACCUGAAGGGCUCACAUUCUGAAGCUCCAGACAGAGUCAUGAUCCAUAGCUUAUAUCCCAGCAGAGGCCCAAUCAGAGACAUAUGCACAUCAUCCAGGGGUGACUCAGACAAGAAGUUCUCUUCUCCAACUGCCUUGUUCCUAUUUCCAUAAUGAUAAUAAUAACUAGCAUAUUCAGAGGACUUUAGUCUCUUUAUUUCAUUUUCUCCUUAUAAGUAACCCUAACCCCAGCAUACCUGACAGUGUAGCAGCAUGACAGAGAGACAGUCCUGGAAUUUUAAUCCUGACUCAGCCACUUAUUAGCUGUGUGACCCUAUGUGAGUUAUUUAACGUCUCUGAGCCUCAUUUCAUCAACUGUAGAAUUGGAAUAAUAAAACUUUAUUUUCAGAGGUAUUGUGAGAAUUAGAGCCAAAAUGUACGUGUUGCCUAACACAGUCACUGGCACAGUCUUUGCAUAGUGUCUACUUUCAGAAUGUUGUGUUUUCUAAAUUUGAUCACUUCCCACCAAUCUCACUGUAACAUCCUUUGCUAGUUACAUGAAUUCUAGCUGCUGCAACAAACAAACCUCUUGACUUCAAUGGUGUAACACAAGAGAAGCUUAUUUUCCCCUCAUAUCAGAGUGUAUGCAGGUGUUCACAAUUGGCAGGAAGCCUUCUCCAUGGGGGCUUCAGGGACCCAGGCCACUUCCAUCUCCUAAUUCUUCAGAGUUCACUGCUCCCAGCAGACAGGCAAAGAGAAAGCAGAGACGACAUGCUGCUUAUUAACCACCUUGGCCCAGAACUGAAAUGCAAUACUUCUAUGUAUAUUUCAUUGCCCAAAAAGUCAAUGUCCAUAUGUAAUGGCAAAGGAGGCUGGGAAAUGCAGUCUCCUUGUGAGUAAAGGGAGAAGGUUUAGGUGGUGGUCUCUGCCACACACCAUUUCUCCCUCAGAACACUGCAAAUGGUCUCCUUGCACUCACUGUCACCCCAGGAUAGGUAUCUCCACAUAGUAGCGAGAGGAAUCUUUUACAAGUGUGUGUUGUGUUAUAUUAUGCUCCUGUGCAAAACCCUUUAAAUCUUCUUCCACAUCCAUGAUAGAAUCUAGUCUCUUCGCCAUGGCCAGCAAGGACUUGCAAGAUCUGUCCCCUGCCUAUCUUUGAUCUUAUCUACUAUACUCUGCCUUUCACUCACUUUACUCUAGCCCUACAGAUCUUCUUCCUGUCCUCUAGAACAUGCUGGACUUAUUACCAACUCAGGGACUUUGCCCUUGCUGUCGCCUUAGCCUGUGACAAACUUCCAUCUUGCAUUCCUUUGGUUCUUUGCUAAAUAAAAUAUUGCCUUUCUAAAAAGGCCUUGUUUGACCUCUUAACUACUUCUCAUCAUUUAAAAAUUUGUAUUAGGACACAUUACAAACAAAAAGUUAUAGAGAAUAUUAAAGUGAAGAUCUCUACCAACAUUCAGCUUUAUCAAGGCUUAUAAUGAGGAUCUUUAUAAUUCAGUUUUGACUAUGGUCCAAAAUCAAUAUGAUGAGUGCCAAGUAGUUUCAUAUUCCAAAGCAGGGUGAUAGCAUUAACUGGUCACCCACCACCAGCUUAUAGAAUGGCUGAGGCUGAAGAGGUCUGAAGAGAGAAUUUCUUUGUAAAGAAUGGCUGGGGUAGUGGCAUGUCCUCUCCCCUGUCUGUGGAAGAAAGAGAGGAAUGUUUCCUCUUAACUUAAUAGAUGGUUGCAUUAUAGGACCACUCAGCCUGUCCUGUGUCUCUGGAGCUAAGGCAAUUGGAACUGUGAAGCUGAGCAGAAAACCUGGCUGGAGCUUGCAGCCUGGCAGCAGAGCUGAAGACUGUCUAGGGGAGGGAGUGCGUCUUCAGAGUGAGCUGCAUGUCAAGUGAUUGGGGAAGGGUGCACAUUCUCCCCAUCAGAUUUUGAUGUGAGGAAGGGAGCCAGUGUGGGCCCUACUCAAGAGGGCUACUAUGCAAGCUCCUGUUUCCUGUCAAUGACGUGUCUGGGAUAGAGGCUUUCCGUACAGCUUUUCCAUUGCUUUGUCUUCCAUUGGAGUCUCACUUCCUACUGGGUAGUUGGUGCUAGAAACUGGCCUCUCAAACAACUCCCUGUACAGUCUGAAACUUAGAUGAGUUAGAGCUUGAAUCUAAAUUGUUCAUUAUUCAGAUGAGGCUACUGCCAGGCACACACCAUAAAAGAUAGAGUAGUAGAGGGGAAGGCUCCCUCCCCUAGAGAACAGCCCUCCAUGUAUCUACAGCUGGUCCCCUGACUUGCCUUUGCAGUAAUAGAAAUUGAAUAGUGGUUGACUCUGUGUAAGAAAUGACUAGAAAGGGUCAUGAAGGAACUUUCUAGAGUGAUGGAAAUGCCAUCUAUUUUAUUAUGGGUGUUGGCUAAAUGGAUGUGUACAUGUGUCUAAUUUUGUUGAUAAAUUAUGAUUUGUGUGUAUGUUUGCAAUUUUAUUAUGAUGUGCCUAGGCUUGGCUUUCUUUGUAGUUAAUUCUACCUGUGAUUCAUAGAACUUUUUGCAUCUAAAGCUUGAUGUUUGUAACCACGUUUGAAAACUCUUCAUCUUUAUGACCUAAAAUACUCUCUUCUAUCCAAUUUUCUUUCCUCCUUUGAAACCACAAUUAUAUGUAUGUUAAUGUGGAGGACGCCAUGGGGGACUCCCUCAGCCUACACUACCUUAGUGCCCUUUUCAGCUAUACUCUUCCUGUGCCUUUGGGGAGCCCACAUACCUUUAGGUCUCCAUCCUAGGGCUGAAAGGUCUUGUUCUCAAGUCAACAAAACUCUACCUGUCAAAAUUUGUUUCAGGGUAAACACUCAAAAAAUGACCAUUCAUUAUCCUUCUUGUCCCAUGGGGAAGUUGCAUUGUCAUAAUAAGUCCUCAUACCCCAAAGGCAUCAUGACCCAGAGAGGUGCAGAUGCAUUGGCAGACUUUUACACACCAUGAUCUCUGAAAAGGAACCAUUGGGUAGAAAACAUUGUAGUUCCUGGUCCUUUGGGCAGCCAUUUUGCCUUCCUCCUUUGAAAUAUAGUCUCAUUUCAGUUAAUAAAAAUAGUAUUUGUACAUAAUUUUAUAAUUUUAAAGGUUAUUUCCCAUAGAUUUUAAAUAAUUCAAUGUUUAGAUGGCAUAUAAAUAAAUAUUGCUCUUUUAUAGAGAUGGAAGGUGAGGGUCUGAAUGCCUCCUGGUGUGCUGGGUGCCUUACAGACAUCACCACACUGGCUUAUCAGGAGAUGCAUGUUCGGUGGAGCUUCCCCAGCCUGCUCACAGCUACCCAGCCACUUGAUUGAGUACUGGGUUCCCCCUUGGGUCUAACACAAAAUUCACAACUUGCUAUCACACCACAGUUCCUUAGAGUCUCAGAGUUGGUAAAUGAUUCUAACCAAGGCUGACAGCAAGGUUACUCUAACCUAAAUAUGAUUUUCCUCCUUUCCCCCCAUUUUUACCUUUAUUAAGAAAAUAACAGUAUAAUAAUAAAGAAAAGAAAAGCAAGGGGAAAAAAUAAAUAAAUUUAUAUGUAAUACAAUUAUCCUAAAUCAACUGCUUUGAUUUUCCUGUCUCCUUCUAUUCCUUAUCCACAUGCCUUCAUAUUUUAUGUUCCUUUGAUGUACCCCAGAUAUCAUCCUGGAUUUCUUCUCCUGAUGUUACACCAUGGGCAUUUCUCCAUGUUGUUGUAUGAUCCUCGAUGUUUCCAUGCUCUGUGGCUGUAGGCUGUUCUGCUGCGAAUCACAAGCUUCCUCUGUUCUCUCACCCUGCUCAGCCUCCCCACAGCCUCCCACAGCUGGACAUCAGACUUCAAGAUGAAGGCACUGUGUCCCUCUGUGUGUUUAGAAGGGAGCACAUUUCUGAGAAGUCUCUUUUCCUAAGACCCCAAACUGGAACAUCAAAUAAGAACAAAUAUGUCUACAAUGAUUUUUACUAGGGUGGCUCAUCAACAGGUGAGCCUGUGCAAAUAUCUGCUUGUAACUGCUAUAUUGAAGUCCAGGAGGAAAUGGAAGGUAACGACUCUCUAAUGCCUUCAUUUGCCCAGACAUUCAGCAGGAACGGCAAUUUCACUUAGGGGAAAAUUUCAGCAGGAAUCAAUUUUUCUAAAUCAAAUUCAAGGGUCACUGAUUGUUAAGGCAACCAUGGGUACGCUAAUGAUGCUAUUCAUAGUUUGGUUAAUACGUAUGCAUAAUAAGAGAAAAUUAUUUACAGAGAUGAUGAAUUUAAUAUUGGGAGUGAAGCAGAUUUACAGCCUGGAAAAUGUAAUUGCUUUUUGAUAUCAAUUAAAGGACUGUUUCAAAAAUCAAUAAGAAUUUUAAAGAAUAGCAUGAGCUUGAAUGAAUGAUAAGUAACUUGAAAGCAAUUUUAAAAUCUUACAGUGAACAAUUCUCCUGAGCCCCAUGAAGGGCCUUAUGGGCCUUUGAGGAAUAAGGUAAGAUUUUUAAAAGUUUCAUUGAUUCAAAAUGAAAGCAAAGUUUGCACACACCACUGAACUGCCACUUCUGUUGCUACAUAAAGCCAUGUUGGACAUGGAGCUCUGGGAGUGAUGAAUCAGAGGGAACUGGAGAGCUUGGGAGUAGGUGCCUUGUAAGCUGGAGCCAAAGAGCUGCUAAGGAGAACAAGGCCUGAUUAGGGGGAUGAGGGGAAGGUAGGCAGCCCCUCAGUUCCGGAGCUGAGCAUUGGAAGACAGGGCAUCCAAGAGAUAUCAAAGCAUCAAAGGCAUAAAAUUUUGUCACUUCACUGACAUCCAUUGUGCAUCUACCAGAUGGAGGCUCCUUGAUAGGCUCUGCAGAGACAGGGAUGAGCAAAACAGGGCCUUGUCCUUGAGGGGUUUGUGGGUUGGAGGAGAAGGCAGAUGUACAGACAGCAACAGGAUGAUGAAACAAGUGUUCCAAUUUAUGGAGAACUUACUAAUAUUACUACUACAUAACAGGCAAUGCACCAAGCACUUAGCAUGCACUGUUCAUUCAGUCCUCAUAAGAAGCCAAUUAUCUCCAUUUUACAGAUUUUAAAAAUGGAGACAAAAAGAAGUUAAACAAUCUGCCCAAGAUUACUUGACUAGUAAGUGCAAGAACUGGAAAUCAAACUCAAGCAUUUUGUUUUUGUUGAAGGAGAUAACACAGUGGGAUUUAAGCCUUGAACCUUUGUUUUGUGAUGCCAAAGUAAUGGCCACAAGACCAAGGAGAGGCCCAUAAAGGUGAAUGCCCAAUGCUGUAGGGUUGCCCAGGAGAAAGAGAAUCACUUGGCCUGGAGGAGGUAGGGGAAGGCUCAGCUAGCCAAAUUUCCCAGAGGCAAUGGCAUUUGACCAACUUUUCAAAAAUGAGUGGGCAUGGGAUUGGCAAAGAACAUAAGGAGGGAUAUUUUACAAGGACAGAAUUAUAGCAUAUGCAAGGAGGCAAACAUGAGCCAUGGGAUGGCAGAAAAUAUUCUCUCUGAGUCAUCUCAAACAAUUGGUAU
Molecule: long non-coding RNA, 8470 nt
Filed under: Homo sapiens (human)
Lineage: Eukaryota; Metazoa; Chordata; Mammalia; Primates; Hominidae
Description: HSALNT0314847
Source: RNAcentral